AAAAAAAAGAGGAAACAACCAGCCCCCACCCCAGCCUACACAGCCAGCUAAAGCGGGCGUGUGUAGAUGCCCCACCGCCAACAGAAACAAUCUCCAGUCAUGUGACCUGGCAUCAAAGACUUUUCUGGGCAAGCGCACGUGCUGCGACAACCUAAGUCCAGAUUUCAUCACCGGACACUACCACUGUUCCUGGAAUCAAAACGAUGACUGCGAGUGCCAGAAUGUGCCACAAGUGGACUACUGUCGCGAGAACUCUGACACGAAGGGAACAUUCCAGGCUAAAGACGAGUGCUGUAACGGGAAGAACCCCAUAGGUUCAACGUACAAGUGCGCUUAU
This is a long non-coding RNA of Physella acuta, 337 nucleotides long. RefSeq lists it as uncharacterized. The record is from RefSeq and is a predicted model, not a curated record. NCBI's taxonomy places the organism in Eukaryota, Metazoa, Mollusca, Gastropoda, Physidae.